GAUGAACGCUAGCUACAGGCUUAACACAUGCAAGUCGAGCGGUAGCAGGGUAGCAAUACUGCUGACGACCGGCGCACGGGUGAGUAACACGUAUCCCACCUUCCCAUAACUCGGGGAUAGCCUUUCGAAAGAAAGAUUAAUACCUGAAAGUACUUUUUCAAGGCAUCUUGAGAAAGUUAAAGAUUGAUUGGUCAUGGAUGGGGAUGCGUUCCAUUAGAUAGUUGGUGAGGUAACGGCACGCCAAGUCUUCGAUGGAUAGGGGUUCUGAGAGGAAGGUCCCCCACAUUGGUACUGAGACACAGACCCAACUGCUACGGGAGGCAGCAGUGAGGAAUAUUGGUCAAUGAGCGAGGGCCUGAACCAGCCAAGUAGCGUGAAGGAUGAAGGUCCUAUGGAUUGUAAACUUCUUUUAUAGUAGAAUAAAGUGACCUACGUGUAGGUUUCUGUAUGUGUACUAUGAAUAAGGAUCGGCUAACUCCGUGCCAGCAGCCGCAGUAA
RNAcentral lists this ribosomal RNA (498 nucleotides) under uncultured bacterium. RNAcentral's name for it is "partial 16S ribosomal RNA". It matches the Rfam family "Bacterial small subunit ribosomal RNA", at positions 28 to 523 of the family's 1533-position model. The record is from RNAcentral.